UUGACAAUCUAAUUAAAAUUCCUUUUUCUUUUUCAGCACCCAGCCGUCGUCGAACUCGACCAUCGUCGCCAGAGCCAGGCGCCCAACGAAUUAGGCCGCGAUCUCUGACUCCUAGAUACAGACGGACCAGAGACGCCCGCAACACCCUCUCGGAUCACUCGGGUCUCAGAUGUGGAUUUCAAGGAUACACGUAUGAAUCAGUGGAGACUCACGAUCAGAACAGCAAUAGCCUCGUUGGUUGGUUAAUUAACAAUUCCAAUCGGUUAACAAUCGCCGCUGCACGUGUUCCCGUAUGCAGGGUAAAGAGACUAGAACCUCUGCAAUAUACGUACAACGAUCGAGACGGAGUCGUACAUGCAUGCGGUCGUUGGCAUUGCGCGCAUGUGAGAAAAAAGACACGAGAAUUUCAAGACUUCAAAAAGCUCGACCGCCAAGCCUCGCUGUAAGAUGUUGGAAGAAAAAAAAUCACACAUACGCACAAGGAAGGCGAAGUCCAGAGGCGUCAAAGUAACUCGAUCCCGAUCCGGGAUACAGGUCAGUCCGGACCGGUGGGCCACUCUCUUCGUCCUUUUGUUCGACCCUCCGAGGACGAGGCUACGCACACGGACGCUUAUACUUGAGAGGUGGAGUUGUGUGGAGGUGGCAGUGCGGAGGAAAUAAAUAAAGAUGAGACGCGCCAAAGGAAGAAGACCUCUCCCGCCGCAUCAUCCUCUCUCCUCCCCCCUCCGUGUUGUGACAGUUGAGUCGAAAGGAAGGCGCUCGCGCGAGAAACUCGAAGGAACAAUAAAAUUAAAAUAAUAACUUUGGACGGACUUCAAAAGCCGCCUGCAGAAGCCACCGAACCCUGUUAUUGGUUCGAUAAAUCAAAC
Neodiprion fabricii is the source of this 869-nucleotide long non-coding RNA. RefSeq lists it as uncharacterized. The transcript has 4 exons. Lineage: Eukaryota; Metazoa; Arthropoda; Insecta; Hymenoptera; Diprionidae. The record is from RefSeq and is a predicted model, not a curated record.